CGCCUUUUGAAAAAUUAUAAAAGGUCCAGCCUGCCCAGUGACCAAGUUAAACGGCCGCGGUACCCUAACCGUGCGAAGGUAGCGCAAUCACUUGUUCUUUAAAUAAGGACUAGUAUGAACGGCAUCACGAGGAUUAUACUGUCUCCCCCCCUAAAUCAAUGAAACUGAUCCCCCCGUGAAGAAGCGGGGAUAAAAAUAUAAGACGAGAAGACCCUAUGGAGCUUUAAACUCAACACCACCUACCUCGACCAACUCCCUCACAAACAGGUAAAGAUCGUGUACGUUUUCAGUUGGGGUGACUGCGGAGCAAAAUAAAACCUCCACGAUGAAAAACAGCCUCUAAUCCAAGAACAACAUUUCAAAGAAUCAACAAAUUGACAUCAAUUGACCCAAAUAAUAAUUUGAUCAACGAACCAAGUUACCCUAGGGAUAACAGCGCAAUCCAUUUCAAGAGCUCAUAUCGACAAAUGGGUUUACGACCUCGAUGUUGGAUCAGGGUAUCCCAGUGGUGCAGCCGCUACUAAAGGUUCGUUUGUUCAACGAUUAAAACCCUACGUGAUCUGAGU
Molecule: ribosomal RNA, 566 nt
Filed under: Chiasmocleis sapiranga
Lineage: Eukaryota; Metazoa; Chordata; Amphibia; Anura; Microhylidae
Description: partial large subunit ribosomal RNA
Rfam family: Bacterial large subunit ribosomal RNA
Source: RNAcentral